This 89-nucleotide small RNA is filed under the name uncultured Plesiomonas sp. Its description in RNAcentral is "t44 RNA". It matches the Rfam family "t44 RNA", at positions 13 to 95 of the family's 95-position model. From Rfam's summary of the family: This family consists of a number of bacterial RNA genes of between 135 and 170 bases in length. The t44 gene is found between the map and rpsB genes in all species in the full alignment apart from Shigella flexneri. The function of this RNA is unknown. The record is from RNAcentral. Lineage: Bacteria; Pseudomonadati; Pseudomonadota; Gammaproteobacteria; Enterobacterales; Enterobacteriaceae.
GAAAUAUCACACACGUAUCAGCACCGUACACCGGGGUGCUCUGGCCUUCGGGUCUGGAGUCGGUUGUAUGGGAUACGUGGAGGCUUAAC